GAUGAACGCUGGCGGCGUGCCUAAUACAUGCAAGUCGAGCGAACAGACGAGGAGCUUGCUCCUCUGACGUUAGCGGCGGACGGGUGAGUAACACGUGGAUAACCUACCUAUAAGACUGGGAUAACUUCGGGAAACCGGAGCUAAUACCGGAUAAUAUAUUGAACCGCAUGGUUCAAUAGUGAAAGACGGUUUUGCUGUCACUUAUAGAUGGAUCCGCGCCGCAUUAGCUAGUUGGUAAGGUAACGGCUUACCAAGGCAACGAUGCGUAGCCGACCUGAGAGGGUGAUCGGCCACACUGGAACUGAGGCACGGUCCAGACUCCUACGGGAGGCAGCAGUAGGGAAUCUUCCGCAAUGGGCGAAAGCUUGACGGAGCAACGCCGCGUGAGUGGUGAAGGUCUUCGGAUCGUAAAACUCUGUUAUUAGGGAAGAACAAAUGUGUAAGUAACUAUGCACGUCUUGACGGUACCUAAUCAGAAAGCCACGGCUAACUACGUG
This 497-nucleotide ribosomal RNA is filed under the name uncultured bacterium. RNAcentral's name for it is "partial 16S ribosomal RNA". It matches the Rfam family "Bacterial small subunit ribosomal RNA", at positions 28 to 507 of the family's 1533-position model. The record is from RNAcentral.